Molecule: ribosomal RNA, 478 nt
Filed under: uncultured bacterium
Lineage: Bacteria
Description: partial 16S ribosomal RNA
Rfam family: Bacterial small subunit ribosomal RNA
Source: RNAcentral
GAUUAACGCUGGCGGCGUGCAUAACACAUGCAAGUCGAACGAUGAAACUCAUUAGAUUUCUUCGGUAUGAAAAGGAAUGGAUUAGUGUCGAUCGGGUGAUUAACGCGUGAGUAACCUGCCUUACACAAGGGGAUAGUCUCUGGACAUGGAGAAUAAUACCCUAUGAGACCAAACAAUCGAAUGAUAAUUUGGUCAAAAUGUUGAGUGGUGUAAGAUGGACUUUCGUCUGAUUACCUAGUUGGUCAGAUAAAAGGUCAUCAAGGCAACGAACAGUAGCCGGAUCUGGAGAGUGUACGGCACCACUGGGACUGGGACAAGGCCCAGACUCCUGCGGGAGGGAGCAGUGGGGAAUUUUGCACGAUGGGGGAAAGAAGGAUGCAGCGGCGCCGCGUGAUUUAGAAGGCCUUGGGGUAGUAAAGAUCUUUUGUAUAGGAAGAAUAUGACAGUACUAUACGAAUAAGGUCCGGCUAAUUACGUG